CCCUUAGAUGUUCUGGGCCGCACGCGCGCUACACUGAUGCCUUCAACAAGCCUAGCCUUGACCGAGAGGUCCGGGUAAUCUUUGAAACUGCAUCGUGAUGGGGCUAGAUUAUUGCAAUUAUUAAUCUUCAACGAGGAAUGCCUAGUAAGCGUGAUUCAUCAAAUCGCGUUGAUUACGUCCCUGCCCUUUGUACACACCGCCCGUCGCUCCUACCGAUUGAAUGUGUUGGUGAGGAGCUCGGAUUGGCAGCAGUUGGUGGUUCGCCACCGGCUAUUGCUGAGAAGUCCUCCAAACCGCCCCAUUUAGAGGAAGGAGAAGUCGUAACA
Molecule: ribosomal RNA, 326 nt
Filed under: uncultured eukaryote
Lineage: Eukaryota
Description: partial 18S ribosomal RNA
Rfam family: Eukaryotic small subunit ribosomal RNA
Source: RNAcentral